This 538-nucleotide ribosomal RNA is filed under the name Haloarcula sp. RNAcentral's name for it is "bacterial SSU rRNA". It matches the Rfam family "Archaeal small subunit ribosomal RNA", at positions 20 to 563 of the family's 1478-position model. Lineage: Archaea; Methanobacteriati; Methanobacteriota; Halobacteria; Halobacteriales; Haloarculaceae. The record is from RNAcentral.
AGGGAUAUAUUCGGGGUCGAAUUAGCCAUGCUAGUCGCACGAGUUCAGACUCGUGGCAUAUAGCUCAGUAACACGUGGCCAAACUACCCUACAGACCGCGAUAACCUCGGGAAACUGAGGCCAAUAGCGGAUAUCACUCUCAGACUGGAGUGUCGAGAGUGAGAAACGUUCCGGCGCUGUAGGAUGUGGCUGCGGCCGAUUAGGUAGAUGGUGGGGUAACGGCCCACCAUGCCGAUAAUCGGUACGGGUUGUGAGAGCAAGAACCCGGAGACGGUAUCUGAGACAAGAUACCGGGCCCUACGGGGCGCAGCAGGCGCGAAACCUUUACACUGCACGACAGUGCGAUAGGGGGACUCCGAGUGCGAGGGCAUAUAGCCCUCGCUUUUCUGUACCGUAAGGUGGUACAGGAACAAGGACUGGGCAAGACCGGUGCCAGCCGCCGCGGUAAUACCGGCAGUCCAAGUGAUGGCCGAUAUUAUUGGGCCUAAAGCGUCCGUAGCCUGCCGGACAAGUCCGUUGGGAAAUCGACGCGCUCAAC